Molecule: ribosomal RNA, 497 nt
Filed under: uncultured bacterium
Lineage: Bacteria
Description: partial 16S ribosomal RNA
Rfam family: Bacterial small subunit ribosomal RNA
Source: RNAcentral
GAUGAACGCUGGCGGCGUGCCUAAUACAUGCAAGUCGAGCGAACGGACGAGAAGCUUGCUUCUCUGAUGUUAGCGGCGGACGGGUGAGUAAAACGUGGAUAACCUACCUAUAAGACUGGGAUAACUUCGGGAAACCGGAGCUAAUACCGGAUAAUAUUUUGAACCGCAUGGUUCAAAAGUGAAAGACGGUCUUGCUGUCACUUAUAGAUGGAUCCGCGCUGCAUUAGCUAGUUGGUAAGGUAACGGCUUACCAAGGCAACGAUGCAUAGCCGACCUGAGAGGGUGAUCGGCCACACUGGAACUGAGACACGGUCCAGACUCCUACGGGAGGCAGCAGUAGGGAAUCUUCCGCAAUGGGCGAAAGCCUGACGGAGCAACGCCGCGUGAGUGAUGAAGGUCUUCGGAUCGUAAAACUCUGCUAUUAGGGAAGAACAUAUGUGUAAGUAACUGUGCACAUCUUGACGGUACCUAAUCAGAAAGCCACGGCUAACUACGUG